Long non-coding RNA from Drosophila obscura, 601 nucleotides. RefSeq lists it as uncharacterized. The record is from RefSeq and is a predicted model, not a curated record. The transcript is spliced from 3 exons. NCBI's taxonomy places the organism in Eukaryota, Metazoa, Arthropoda, Insecta, Diptera, Drosophilidae.
UUGCGGACCAGGAGCCUGAUCAAAUUUUCUAAUUGAUUUUUCAGGAUUAGAAAUACCGAUUCUGAUAGUGGCUUUUCGAUUGCACUUAAAAAUUAUUAAUACGUAAGAAAUCACUAUCGAUAUAAAGCCAAUAGCGAUUAUCAAAUAGCACACCGAGAAAAACAUGCUUGUUUCUUGCGCAAAUGUUCGCUCAAAGAAAUUACUAGUUAGCUCAAUAUUCUCGACUAAACCAGAUAUCUGUUUGUGCCAGGAACCAAUUUGUAGAAAGAUUUAAAAAUUAAGGAUAUUUGGCUAAAUAAACUUCAUUCCAUCGUAAAUAAUAACAAAAUAUAACAAAUCAUACAUGAAAAAGAAUAAAGUCUGAAAGUAUCCAACUGACGGCUCCCUUCCCUGGCAAAAGACAAACAAAAGCGUAGGCCAGCGAUGCCCAGGCCCAUUUCCCACGGAGCCCAUUUUUUUUUUGUAAUUGCCCUCAGCAUAGGAAACCAAUUCUUGUAUGCAAGUUAACAAGAGUUAACUGAAUUGUCCAUUGGGUUGGACGAAUUCUGAGUUAACAAGAGUUAACUGGAUUGUCCAUUGGGUUGGACGAAUUCUGCGAUAU